GACGAACGCUGGCGGCGUGCCUAAUACAUGCAAGUCGAGCGAAGUUUUUCUGGUGCUUGCACUAGAAAAACUUAGCGGCGAACGGGUGAGUAACACGUAAAGAACCUGCCUCAUAGACUGGGACAACUAUUGGAAACGAUAGCUAAUACCGGAUAACAGUAUUUCUCGCAUGAGAGAUAUUUAAAAGUUGGUUAUGCUAACACUAUGAGAUGGCUUUGCGGUGCAUUAGCUAGUUGGUGGGGUAAAGGCGCACCAAGGCGACGAUGCAUAGCCGACCUGAGAGGGUGAUCGGCCACACUGGGACUGAGACACGGCCCAGACUCCUACGGGAGGCAGCAGUAGGGAAUCUUCCGCAAUGGGCGAAAGCCUGACGGAGCAACGCCGCGUGAGUGAAGAAGGAUUUCGGUUCGUAAAGCUCUGUUGUUAGGGAAGAAUGGAUAUGUAGUAACUAUACAUGUAAGAGACGGUACCUAACCAGAAAGCCACGGCUAACUACGUG
This 499-nucleotide ribosomal RNA is filed under the name uncultured bacterium. RNAcentral's name for it is "partial 16S ribosomal RNA". It matches the Rfam family "Bacterial small subunit ribosomal RNA", at positions 28 to 507 of the family's 1533-position model. The record is from RNAcentral.